AAGAAAGUACGUAAGAGCUGCUAACUCAUACCACCAUGUAUAAAAACAUGGCUUUCUUA
This 59-nucleotide transfer RNA is filed under the name Neotoma magister (Allegheny woodrat). Its description in RNAcentral is "tRNA-Ser". Lineage: Eukaryota; Metazoa; Chordata; Mammalia; Rodentia; Cricetidae. The record is from RNAcentral.